Molecule: small nucleolar RNA, 114 nt
Filed under: Meriones unguiculatus (Mongolian gerbil)
Lineage: Eukaryota; Metazoa; Chordata; Mammalia; Rodentia; Muridae
Description: Small nucleolar RNA SNORA17 (ENSMUGG00000016522.1)
Rfam family: Small nucleolar RNA SNORA17
About the family: snoRNA ACA 17 belongs to the H/ACA family of snoRNAs and is predicted to guide pseudouridylation of the 28S rRNA at positions U4659 and U4598. It shares the same host gene together with ACA43.
Source: RNAcentral
CCCCUAGAUGCAUUGCAGUUGUGGCUGCUAUGUCAAGUGAGUGCAGAGAGGCUAUUUCUGUUCUCAGUGUUCUGACCUAUGAACAACUAUCUGAAUAAUUAGUAGCUUAACACU